UUACCUCAACGGCUGCCCACAUAUGAUUCAACUUUUCUUGUUUAAUAUCAUUCCACGAUGAUACUCCCAAUGGACAUAUAUUACGAUCACGAACAAUUUUUCCCAAAUGCCUCGAAAACAAUUUGCUAUUUGUUCCAACCGUUCAAUUAUUGUAAAAGGUUACUUUCAGCUUUUGUCCAAUUUCAAGUGCAGCAACUUCUUUGCACAUGUU
This 211-nucleotide long non-coding RNA is filed under the name Solanum tuberosum (potato). RNAcentral describes it as "long non-coding RNA (STUB_LNC006263)". The record is from RNAcentral. Lineage: Eukaryota; Viridiplantae; Streptophyta; Magnoliopsida; Solanales; Solanaceae.